CCUACGGGUGGCAGCAGUGAGGAAUAUUGGUCAAUGGCCGAGAGUCUGAACCAGCCAAGUCGCGUGAGGGAAGACUGCCCUACGGGUUGUAAACCUCUUUUGUCGGGGAGCAAAGAGAGUCACGUGUGACUCUUUGAGAGUACCCUAAGAAUAAGCAUCGGCUAACUCCGUGCCAGCAGCCGCGGUAAUACGGAGGAUGCGAGCGUUAUCCGGUUUUAUUGGGUUUAAAGGGUGCGCAGGCGGAGGUGCAAGUCAGCGGUAAAAUUUGGGGGCCAAACCCAGUACUGCCGUUGAAACUGGCAGACUUGAGUGCGCGAGAAGUAGGCGGAAUUCGUGGUGUAGCGGUGAAAUGCAUAGAUAUCACGCAGAACUCCGAUUGCGAAGGCAGCAUACCGGAGUGCAACUGACGCUCAGGCACGAAAGCGUGGGUAUCGAACAGGAUUAGAUACCCCAGUAGUC
Molecule: ribosomal RNA, 459 nt
Filed under: uncultured bacterium
Lineage: Bacteria
Description: partial 16S ribosomal RNA
Rfam family: Bacterial small subunit ribosomal RNA
Source: RNAcentral